Molecule: non-coding RNA, 91 nt
Organism: Mycena crocata
Lineage: Eukaryota; Fungi; Basidiomycota; Agaricomycetes; Agaricales; Mycenaceae
Source: the annotation of a GenBank genome assembly
UCGGACGUGGUGUAUGGUGCACGCCCACUUUGUCUUCUCGACACGUUGUGUAUACAAGUGGGAAGCCUGGGUUCGAUUCCCAGCGUCCGAA